Molecule: transfer RNA, 72 nt
Filed under: Dendrothele bispora CBS 962.96
Lineage: Eukaryota; Fungi; Basidiomycota; Agaricomycetes; Agaricales
Description: Dendrothele bispora (strain CBS 962.96) tRNA
Rfam family: tRNA
About the family: Transfer RNA (tRNA) molecules are approximately 80 nucleotides in length. Their secondary structure includes four short double-helical elements and three loops (D, anti-codon, and T loops).
Source: Rfam by way of RNAcentral
AGCAGCAUGGCGCAGUGGUAGCGCGCGCGGCCCAUAACCCCGAGGUCACUUGAUCGAAACAAGUUGCUGCUA